UCGGAGCGGACAGAAGGGAGCUUGCUCCCGGAUGUUAGCGGCGGACGGGUGAGUAACACGUGGGUAACCUGCCUGUAAGACUGGGAUAACUCCGGGAAACCGGAGCUAAUACCGGAUAGUUCCUUGAACCGCAUGGUUCAAGGAUGAAAGACGGUUUCGGCUGUCACUUACAGAUGGACCCGCGGCGCAUUAGCUAGUUGGUGAGGUAACGGCUCACCAAGGCGACGAUGCGUAGCCGACCUGAGAGGGUGAUCGGCCACACUGGGACUGAGACACGGCCCAGACUCCUACGGGAGGCAGCAGUAGGGAAUCUUCCGCAAUGGACGAAAGUCUGACGGAGCAACGCCGCGUGAGUGAUGAAGGUUUUCGGAUCGUAAAGCUCUGUUGUUAGGGAAGAACAAGUGCAAGAGUAACUGCUUGCACCUUGACGGUACCUAACCAGAAAGCCACGGCUAACUACGUGCCAGCAGCCGCGGUAAUACGUAGUGGCAAGCGUUGUCCGGAAUUAUUGGGCGUAAAGGGCUCGCAGGCGGUUUCUUAAGUCUGAUGUGAAAGCCCCCGGCUCAACCGGGGAGGGUCAUUGGAAACUGGAAAACUUGAGUGCAGAAGAGGAGAGUGGAAUUC
This 624-nucleotide ribosomal RNA is filed under the name uncultured Bacillus sp. RNAcentral's name for it is "bacterial SSU rRNA". It matches the Rfam family "Bacterial small subunit ribosomal RNA", at positions 62 to 669 of the family's 1533-position model. The record is from RNAcentral. Lineage: Bacteria; Bacillati; Bacillota; Bacilli; Caryophanales; Bacillaceae.